GACGAACGCUGGCGGCGUGCUUAACACAUGCAAGUCGAACGGAAAGGCCCUUCGGGGUACUCGAGUGGCGAACGGGUGAGUAACACGUGGGUGAUCUGCCCUGCACUUUGGGAUAAGCCUGGGAAACUGGGUCUAAUACCGAAUAGGACCACGCGCUUCAUGGUGUGUGGUGGAAAGCUUUUGCGGUGUGGGAUGGGCCCGCGGCCUAUCAGCUUGUUGGUGGGGUAAUGGCCUACCAAGGCGACGACGGGUAGCCGGCCUGAGAGGGUGACCGGCCACAGUGGGACAGAGACACGGCCCAGUCUCCUGGGGGGGGAAGCAGGGGGAAAUAUUGCACAAGGGGCGCAAGCCUGAUGCAGCGACGCCGCGUGGGGGAGGACGCCCUUCGGGUUGUAACCCUUUUUCAAGGGGGACGAAGCGAAAGGGAGGGUACCUAAAAAAGAAGCCCGGCCAAACUACGUC
Molecule: ribosomal RNA, 462 nt
Filed under: uncultured bacterium
Lineage: Bacteria
Description: partial 16S ribosomal RNA
Rfam family: Bacterial small subunit ribosomal RNA
Source: RNAcentral